AUUGAACGCUGGCGGCAGGCCUAACACAUGCAAGUCGAACGAGUGGCGGACGGGUGAGUAAUGUCUGGGAAACUGCCUGAUGGAGGGGGAUAACUACUGGAAACGGUAGCUAAUACUGCAUACCAUGGGAUGUGCCGAGAUGGGAUUAGCUAGUGGGUGGGGUAACGGCCCACCUAGGCGACGAUCCCUAGCUGGUCGGAGAGGAUGGCCAGCCACCCUAGAUCGGAGACACGGUCCGGACUCCUACGGGAGGCAAGGGUGGGGAAUAUUGCACAAUGGGCGCAAGCCUGAUGCGGCCAUGCCGCGUGUAUGAAGGAGGCAUUCGGCUUGUAGAGUACUUUCAGCGGGGAGGCGUUACCCGAAGAAGAAGCACCGGCUAACUCCGUGCCAGCAGCCGCGGUAAUUC
RNAcentral lists this ribosomal RNA (406 nucleotides) under uncultured bacterium. RNAcentral's name for it is "partial 16S ribosomal RNA". It matches the Rfam family "Bacterial small subunit ribosomal RNA", at positions 29 to 526 of the family's 1533-position model. The record is from RNAcentral.